UACGGAGGGUGCAAGCGUUAUUCGGAAUUACUGGGCGUAAAGCGCACGCAGGCGGUCUGUCAAGUCGGAUGUGAAAUCCCGGGGCUCAACCGGGGAACUGCAGCUGAAACUGGCAGGCUAGAGUCUUGUAGAGGGGGGCAGAAUUCGAGGUGUAGCGGUGAAAUGCGUAGAGAUCUGGAGGAAUACCGGUGGCGAAGGCGGCCCCCUGGACAAAGACUGACGCUCAGGCGCGAAAGCGUGGGCAGCAAACAGG
Molecule: unclassified non-coding RNA, 253 nt
Filed under: uncultured Enterobacteriaceae bacterium
Lineage: Bacteria; Pseudomonadati; Pseudomonadota; Gammaproteobacteria; Enterobacterales; Enterobacteriaceae
Description: contains 16S-23S intergenic spacer region
Rfam family: Bacterial small subunit ribosomal RNA
Source: RNAcentral